CAAAUUAGAGCUUGAGGAGUAAAGCAUUUCAUUUACAUUGAAUGGUUGUCGUGCAAUUCGAUUUAAUUUGA
Molecule: transfer RNA, 71 nt
Filed under: Balmes birmanus
Lineage: Eukaryota; Metazoa; Arthropoda; Insecta; Neuroptera; Psychopsidae
Description: tRNA-Val
Source: RNAcentral